GGGGACAUGGUUCAAUUGUUAGACUGCCUGCUUAGCAAGCAUGAGGCUUUGAGUUUAAACCUCAGUACCACCA
This 73-nucleotide transfer RNA is filed under the name Dipodomys ordii (Ord's kangaroo rat). It matches the Rfam family "tRNA". From Rfam's summary of the family: Transfer RNA (tRNA) molecules are approximately 80 nucleotides in length. Their secondary structure includes four short double-helical elements and three loops (D, anti-codon, and T loops). Further hydrogen bonds mediate the characteristic L-shaped molecular structure. tRNAs have two regions of fundamental functional importance: the anti-codon, which is responsible for specific mRNA codon recognition, and the 3' end, to which the tRNAs corresponding amino acid is attached (by aminoacyl-tRNA synthetases). tRNAs cope with the degeneracy of the genetic code in two manners: having more than one tRNA (with a specific anti-codon) for a particular amino acid; and 'wobble' base-pairing, i.e. permitting non-standard base-pairing at the 3rd anti-codon position. The record is from Rfam by way of RNAcentral. Lineage: Eukaryota; Metazoa; Chordata; Mammalia; Rodentia; Heteromyidae.